Non-coding RNA from Pelobates cultripes (western spadefoot toad), 119 nucleotides. NCBI's taxonomy places the organism in Eukaryota, Metazoa, Chordata, Amphibia, Anura, Pelobatidae. The record is from the annotation of a GenBank genome assembly.
AACUAUGGCCAUACCAGUCUGAAAGAGCCUGAUCUCGUCAGAUCUCAGAAGUCAUGCAGACUUGGGCCUGCUUAGUUUUUGUAUGGGAGACCAACUAGGAACCUCAGGUGCUGUAAGCU